GGGGUCAUGCUCAGGAAGAUGAUGGACUCUGGGCAGCUAGACUUCUAUGAACACAGCACUCUGUGCACCAACACGUGUCGUAGCACCAAGUUUGACCUGCUGAUCAACAACACACGCUUCCCCCCUGAUGGCAGCGGACUCACCACACCCAUCUCCUCACAAGCCCAGGUGGUGAUAGGUAAUGGUGGCCAGGUUGUCAUGACCGGAACAGUGGAGUGGAGUUCAGGGGCCAUAGC
Salmo salar (Atlantic salmon) is the source of this 236-nucleotide non-coding RNA. NCBI's taxonomy places the organism in Eukaryota, Metazoa, Chordata, Actinopteri, Salmoniformes, Salmonidae. The record is from RefSeq and is a predicted model, not a curated record.